Molecule: ribosomal RNA, 642 nt
Filed under: Flavobacterium sp. B425_1
Lineage: Bacteria; Pseudomonadati; Bacteroidota; Flavobacteriia; Flavobacteriales; Flavobacteriaceae
Description: bacterial SSU rRNA
Rfam family: Bacterial small subunit ribosomal RNA
Source: RNAcentral
UUCUUCGGAAUUAGAGACCGGCGCACGGGUGCGUAACGCGUAUGCAAUCUACCUUUCACAGAGGGAUAGCCCAGAGAAAUUUGGAUUAAUACCUCAUAGUAUAGCAGUUUCGCAUGAAACCACUAUUAAAGUCACAACGGUGAAAGAUGAGCAUGCGUCCCAUUAGCUAGUUGGUAAGGUAACGGCUUACCAAGGCAACGAUGGGUAGGGGUCCUGAGAGGGAGAUCCCCCACACUGGUACUGAGACACGGACCAGACUCCUACGGGAGGCAGCAGUGAGGAAUAUUGGACAAUGGGCGCAAGCCUGAUCCAGCCAUGCCGCGUGCAGGAUGACGGUCCUAUGGAUUGUAAACUGCUUUUAUACGAGAAGAAACCCUCCGACGUGUCGGAGCUUGACGGUAUCGUAAGAAUAAGGAUCGGCUAACUCCGUGCCAGCAGCCGCGGUAAUACGGAGGAUCCAAGCGUUAUCCGGAAUCAUUGGGUUUAAAGGGUCCGUAGGCGGUCAGGUAAGUCAGUGGUGAAAGCCCAUCGCUCAACGGUGGAACGGCCAUUGAUACUGUCUGACUUGAAUUAUUAGGAAGUAACUAGAAUAUGUAGUGUAGCGGUGAAAUGCUUAGAGAUUACAUGGAAUACCAAUUGCGA